RNAcentral lists this ribosomal RNA (476 nucleotides) under uncultured bacterium. RNAcentral's name for it is "bacterial SSU rRNA". It matches the Rfam family "Bacterial small subunit ribosomal RNA", at positions 28 to 507 of the family's 1533-position model. The record is from RNAcentral.
GACGAACGCUGGCGGCGUGCCUAACACAUGCAAGUCGAGCGGGGUUGAAGCGAGAGGUAACUCGAACUUCUACCUAGCGGCGGACGGGUGAGUAACGCGUGGGCAACCUGCCUCAAGGUCUGGGAUAACAGCCCGAAAGGGCUGCUAAUACUGGGUAUGCUUGUGGCCUCGCAUGGGGCUAUGAGCAAAGGGGAAACCCGCCUUGAGAUGGGCCCGCGUCCCAUCAGCUAGUUGGUGAGGUAACAGCUCACCAAGGCGACGACGGGUAGCCGGCCUGAGAGGGUGACCGGCCACAUUGGGACUGAGACACGGCCCAGACUCCUACGGGGGGGCAGCAGUGGGGGAUCUUGCACAAUGGGCGAAAGCCUGAUGCAGCGACGCCGCGUGAGCGAAGAAGGCCUUCGGGUUGUAAAGCUCUGUCUGGAGGGACGAAGGAAGUGACGGUACCUCCGGAGGAAGCCACGGCUAACUACGUG